This 2905-nucleotide ribosomal RNA is filed under the name Enterobacter roggenkampii. RNAcentral describes it as "23S ribosomal RNA". It matches the Rfam family "Bacterial large subunit ribosomal RNA". The record is from RNAcentral. Lineage: Bacteria; Pseudomonadati; Pseudomonadota; Gammaproteobacteria; Enterobacterales; Enterobacteriaceae.
GGUUAAGCGACUAAGCGUACACGGUGGAUGCCCUGGCAGUCAGAGGCGAUGAAGGACGUGCUAAUCUGCGAAAAGCGCCGGCGAGGUGAUAUGAACCUUUGACCCGGCGAUGUCCGAAUGGGGAAACCCAGUGUGAUUCGUCACACUAUCGUUAACUGAAUACAUAGGUUAACGAGGCGAACCGGGGGAACUGAAACAUCUAAGUACCCCGAGGAAAAGAAAUCAACCGAGAUUCCCCCAGUAGCGGCGAGCGAACGGGGAGCAGCCCAGAGUCUGAAUCAGCUUGUGUGUUAGUGGAAGCGUCUGGAAAGUCGCACGGUACAGGGUGACAGUCCCGUACACGAAAGCACACAGGCUGUGAACUCGAAGAGUAGGGCGGGACACGUAGUAUCCUGUCUGAAUAUGGGGGGACCAUCCUCCAAGGCUAAAUACUCCUGACUGACCGAUAGUGAACCAGUACCGUGAGGGAAAGGCGAAAAGAACCCCGGCGAGGGGAGUGAAAUAGAACCUGAAACCGUGUACGUACAAGCAGUGGGAGCACCUUCGUGGUGUGACUGCGUACCUUUUGUAUAAUGGGUCAGCGACUUAUAUUCUGUAGCAAGGUUAACCGUAUAGGGGAGCCGAAGGGAAACCGAGUCUUAACUGGGCGUUAAGUUGCAGGGUAUAGACCCGAAACCCGGUGAUCUAGCCAUGGGCAGGUUGAAGGUUGGGUAACACUAACUGGAGGACCGAACCGACUAAUGUUGAAAAAUUAGCGGAUGACUUGUGGCUGGGGGUGAAAGGCCAAUCAAACCGGGAGAUAGCUGGUUCUCCCCGAAAGCUAUUUAGGUAGCGCCUCGUGAACUCAUCUUCGGGGGUAGAGCACUGUUUCGGCUAGGGGGCCAUCCCGGCUUACCAACCCGAUGCAAACUACGAAUACCGAAGAAUGUUAUCACGGGAGACACACGGCGGGUGCUAACGUUCGUCGUGAAGAGGGAAACAACCCAGACCGCCAGCUAAGGUCCCAAAGUCAUGGUUAAGUGGGAAACGAUGUGGGAAGGCACAGACAGCCAGGAUGUUGGCUUAGAAGCAGCCAUCAUUUAAAGAAAGCGUAAUAGCUCACUGGUCGAGUCGGCCUGCGCGGAAGAUGUAACGGGGCUAAACCAUGCACCGAAGCUGCGGCAGCGACGCGUAUGCGUUGUUGGGUAGGGGAGCGUUCUGUAAGCCGUUGAAGGUGGCCUGUGAGGGUUGCUGGAGGUAUCAGAAGUGCGAAUGCUGACAUAAGUAACGAUAAAGCGGGUGAAAAGCCCGCUCGCCGGAAGACCAAGGGUUCCUGUCCAACGUUAAUCGGGGCAGGGUGAGUCGACCCCUAAGGCGAGGCCGAAAGGCGUAGUCGAUGGGAAACAGGUUAAUAUUCCUGUACUUGGUGUUACUGCGAAGGGGGGACGGAGAAGGCUAUGUUAGCCGGGCGACGGUUGUCCCGGUUUAAGCAUGUAGGCGGAGGUUCCAGGUAAAUCCGGUACCUUUUAACGCUGAGGUGUGAUGACGAGGCACUACGGUGCUGAAGUAACAAAUGCCCUGCUUCCAGGAAAAGCCUCUAAGCAUCAGGUAACAUCAAAUCGUACCCCAAACCGACACAGGUGGUCAGGUAGAGAAUACCAAGGCGCUUGAGAGAACUCGGGUGAAGGAACUAGGCAAAAUGGUGCCGUAACUUCGGGAGAAGGCACGCUGAUAUGUAGGUGAAGCCCCUGCGGGUGGAGCUGAAAUCAGUCGAAGAUACCAGCUGGCUGCAACUGUUUAUUAAAAACACAGCACUGUGCAAACACGAAAGUGGACGUAUACGGUGUGACGCCUGCCCGGUGCCGGAAGGUUAAUUGAUGGGGUUAGCGGUAACGCGAAGCUCUUGAUCGAAGCCCCGGUAAACGGCGGCCGUAACUAUAACGGUCCUAAGGUAGCGAAAUUCCUUGUCGGGUAAGUUCCGACCUGCACGAAUGGCGUAAUGAUGGCCAGGCUGUCUCCACCCGAGACUCAGUGAAAUUGAACUCGCUGUGAAGAUGCAGUGUACCCGCGGCAAGACGGAAAGACCCCGUGAACCUUUACUAUAGCUUGACACUGAACACUGGUCCUUGAUGUGUAGGAUAGGUGGGAGGCUUUGAAGUGUGGACGCCAGUCUGCGUGGAGCCGUCCUUGAAAUACCACCCUUUAAUGGCUGGUGUUCUAACGUAGACCCGUGAUCCGGGUUGCGGACAGUGUCUGGUGGGUAGUUUGACUGGGGCGGUCUCCUCCCAAAGAGUAACGGAGGAGCACGAAGGUUAGCUAAUCCUGGUCGGACAUCAGGAGGUUAGUGCAAUGGCAUAAGCUAGCUUGACUGCGAGAGUGACGGCUCGAGCAGGUGCGAAAGCAGGUCAUAGUGAUCCGGUGGUUCUGAAUGGAAGGGCCAUCGCUCAACGGAUAAAAGGUACUCCGGGGAUAACAGGCUGAUACCGCCCAAGAGUUCAUAUCGACGGCGGUGUUUGGCACCUCGAUGUCGGCUCAUCACAUCCUGGGGCUGAAGUAGGUCCCAAGGGUAUGGCUGUUCGCCAUUUAAAGUGGUACGCGAGCUGGGUUUAGAACGUCGUGAGACAGUUCGGUCCCUAUCUGCCGUGGGCGCUGGAGAAUUGAGGGGGGCUGCUCCUAGUACGAGAGGACCGGAGUGGACGCAUCACUGGUGUUCGGGUUGUCAUGCCAAUGGCACUGCCCGGUAGCUAAAUGCGGAAAAGAUAAGUGCUGAAAGCAUCUAAGCACGAAACUUGCCCCGAGAUGAGUUCUCCCUGAGACUUUAAGUCUCCUGAAGGAACGUUGAAGACGACGACGUUGAUAGGUCGGGUGUGUAAGCGCAGCGAUGCGUUGAGCUAACCGAUACUAAUGAACCGUGAGGCUUAACCUU